Molecule: ribosomal RNA, 453 nt
Filed under: uncultured bacterium
Lineage: Bacteria
Description: bacterial SSU rRNA
Rfam family: Bacterial small subunit ribosomal RNA
Source: RNAcentral
GCACAAGCGGUGGAGCAUGUGGAUUAAUUCGAUGCAACGCGAAGAACCUUACCUGGGUUUGACAUAUGCCGGGAAGCUCUAGAGAUAGAGCCCCUUUUGUCGGUAUACAGGUGGUGCAUGGCUGUCGUCAGCUCGUGUCGUGAGAUGUUGGGUUAAGUCCCGCAACGAGCGCAACCCUCGUCCUAUGUUGCCAGCACGUAAUGGUGGGGACUCAUAGGAGACUGCCGGGGUCAACUCGGAGGAAGGUGGGGAUGACGUCAAGUCAUCAUGCCCCUUAUGUCCAGGGCUUCACGCAUGCUACAAUGGCCGGUACAAAGGGCUGCGAUACCGCAAGGUGGAGCGAAUCCCAAAAAGCCGGUCUCAGUUCGGAUUGGGGUCUGCAACUCGACCCCAUGAAGUCGGAGUCGCUAGUAAUCGCAGAUCAGCAACGCUGCGGUGAAUACGUUCCCGGGC